GUGGCAUAAUGGUUAAGCUCUUGGCUGCUAACCAAAAGGCUGAUGGUUUGAAUUCAUCC
This 59-nucleotide transfer RNA is filed under the name Loxodonta africana (African savanna elephant). It matches the Rfam family "tRNA", at positions 7 to 64 of the family's 71-position model. From Rfam's summary of the family: Transfer RNA (tRNA) molecules are approximately 80 nucleotides in length. Their secondary structure includes four short double-helical elements and three loops (D, anti-codon, and T loops). Lineage: Eukaryota; Metazoa; Chordata; Mammalia; Proboscidea; Elephantidae. The record is from Rfam by way of RNAcentral.